GUCAGCCGCCGCGGGAACACCGGCAGCUCUAGUAGUAGCUGUUUUAUUGGGCCUAAAGCGUUCGUAGCCGGUUUGAUAAGUCACUGGUGAAAUCCUGUAGCUUAACUGUGGGAAUUGCUGGUGAUACUGUUGAACUUGAGGUCGGGAGAGGUUAGCGGUACUCCCAGGGUAGAGGUGAAAUUCUGUAAUCCUGGGAGGACCACCUGUGGCGAAGGCGGCUAACUGGAACGAACCUGACGGUGAGGGACGAAAGCUAGGGGCGCGAACCGGAUUAGAUACCCGGGUAGUCCUAGCCGUAAACGAUGCGGACUUGGUGUUGGGAUGGCUUUGAGCCGCUCCGGUGCCGAAGGGAAGCUGUUAAGUCCGCCGCCUGGGAAGUACGGUCGCAAGACUGAACUUAAAGGAAUUGGCGGGGGAGCACCACAACGCGUGGAGCCUGCGGUUUAAUUGGAUUCAACGCCGGACAUCUCACCAGGAGCGACAGCUGUAUGAUUACCAGGCUGAUGACCUUGUUUGACUAGCUGAGUGGUGGUGCAUGG
This 539-nucleotide ribosomal RNA is filed under the name uncultured archaeon. Its description in RNAcentral is "bacterial SSU rRNA". It matches the Rfam family "Archaeal small subunit ribosomal RNA", at positions 457 to 997 of the family's 1478-position model. The record is from RNAcentral.